GACGAACGCUGGCGGCGUGCUUAACACAUGCAAGUCGAACGGUAAGGCCCUUCGGGGUACACGAGUGGCGAACGGGUGAGUAACACGUGGGUGAUCUGCCCUGCACUUCGGGAUAAGCCUGGGAAACUGGGUCUAAUACCGGAUAGGACUCCGGACUGCAUGGUCUGGGGUGGAAAGCUUUUGCGGUGUGGGAUGGGCCCGCGGCCUAUCAGCUUGUUGGGGGGGUGAUGGCCUACCAAGGCGACGACGGGUGGCCGGCCUGAGAGGGUGACCGGCCACACUGGGAGUGGGAUACGGCCCAGACUCCUACGGGAGGCAGCAGUGGGGAAUAUUGCACAAUGGGCGCAAGCCUGAUGCAGCGACGCCGCGUGAGGGAUGACGGCCUUCGGGUUGUAAACUUCUUUCAGCAUCGACGAAGCGAAAGUGACGGUAGGUGCAGAAGAAGGACCGGCCAACUACGUGCCAGCAGCCGCGGUAA
Molecule: ribosomal RNA, 478 nt
Filed under: uncultured bacterium
Lineage: Bacteria
Description: partial 16S ribosomal RNA
Rfam family: Bacterial small subunit ribosomal RNA
Source: RNAcentral